CAGGGAUUGCCUUAGUAACGGCGAGUGAAGCGGCAAAAGCUCAAAUCUGAAAUCUGGCCACUUCGGUGUCCGAGUUGUAAUUUGAAGAAGGUAACUUUGGAGUUGGCUCUUGUCUAUGUUCCUUGGAACAGGACGUCACAGAGGGUGAGAACUCCGUGCGAUGAGAUGCCCAAUUCUAUGUAAAGUGCUUUCGAAGAGUCGAGUUGUUUGGGAAUGCAGCUCUAAGUGGGUGGUAAAUUCCAUCUAAAGCUAAAUAUUGGCGAGAGCCCGAUAGCGAACAAGUACAGUGAUGGAAAGAUGAAAAGAACUUUGAAAAGAGAGUGAAAAAGUACGUGAAAUUGUUGAAAGGGAAGGGCUUGAGAUCAGACUUGGUAUUUUGCGAUCCUUUCCUUCUUGGUUGGGUUCUCCGCAGCUUACUGGGCCAGCAUCGGUUUGGAUGGUAGGAUAAUGAUUAAGGAAUGUGGCUCUACUUCGGUGGAGUGUUAUAGCCUUGGUUGAUACUGCCUGUCUA
Molecule: ribosomal RNA, 511 nt
Filed under: Debaryomyces nepalensis
Lineage: Eukaryota; Fungi; Ascomycota; Pichiomycetes; Serinales; Debaryomycetaceae
Description: partial large subunit ribosomal RNA
Rfam family: Eukaryotic large subunit ribosomal RNA
Source: RNAcentral